This 244-nucleotide unclassified non-coding RNA is filed under the name plant metagenome. Its description in RNAcentral is "partial contains small subunit ribosomal RNA, internal transcribed spacer 1, and 5.8S ribosomal RNA". The record is from RNAcentral.
UCUCCGUUGGUGAACCAGCGGAGGGAUCAUUACCGAGUUUACAACUCCCAAACCCAAUGUGACCAAUACCAACCUGUUGCCUCGGCGGGGUCACGCCCCGGGUGCGCCGCAGCCCCGGAACCAGGCGCCCGCCGGAGGGACCAACCAAACUCUUUCUGUAGUCCCCUCGCGGACGUUAUUUUUACAGCUCUGAGCAAAAAUUCAAAAUGAAUCAAAACUUUCAACAACGGAUCUCUUGGUUCUG